GCUUACGGCCACACCGCCUGGUUCACGCCCGACUUGUUUGAUCUCGGAAGCUAAGAUAGGUUGGGCCUGGUUAGUACUUGGAUGGGAGACCGCCUGGGAAUACCAGGUGCUGUGGCCU
Scophthalmus maximus (turbot) is the source of this 118-nucleotide ribosomal RNA. The record is from Ensembl. Lineage: Eukaryota; Metazoa; Chordata; Actinopteri; Pleuronectiformes; Scophthalmidae.